RNAcentral lists this ribosomal RNA (468 nucleotides) under uncultured bacterium. RNAcentral describes it as "partial 16S ribosomal RNA". It matches the Rfam family "Bacterial small subunit ribosomal RNA", at positions 28 to 507 of the family's 1533-position model. The record is from RNAcentral.
GACGAACGCUGGCGGCGUGCUUAACACAUGCAAGUCGAACGGAAAGGCCCUGCUUUUGUGGGGCGCUCGAGUGGCGAACGGGUGAGUAGCACGUGAGCAACCUGCCCUUGACUUUGGGAUAACUUCAGGAAACUGGGGCUAAUACCGGAUAGGAGCUCCUGCUGCAUGGUGGGGGUUGGAAAGUUUCGGCGGUUGGGGAUGGACUCGCGGCUUAUCAGCUUGUUGGUGGGGUAGUGGCUUACCAAGGCUUUGACGGGUAGCCGGCCUGAGAGGGUGACCGGCCACAUUGGGACUGAGAUACGGCCCAGACUCCUACGGGAGGCAGCAGUGGGGAAUAUUGCACAAUGGGCGGAAGCCUGAUGCAGCAACGCCGCGUGCGGGAUGACGGCCUUCGGGUUGUAAACCGCUUUCGCCUGUGACGAAGCGUGAGUGACGGUAAUGGGUAAAGAAGCACCGGCUAACUACGUG